AAAUUUAGUAAACUCCGCAACUUUGAAGGGGGGGGGGGGGGCAUCAUGGAUUGGCCUGACAGAAUCUUCAACACCUGUGUCACUGAACUUGACAAGCACAAAGGAAACAUGAUUUCAAAGUCCCUACAGCCAGUGUAGAUUUGAAUGUAUAAGGCUGAACUGAGUGAUGACUUCUCCCUGAGAAAACAAAGGACUUUCCUGAUAAUUAACAUUUGAACUCCCUUGAAUACCCUCCAUCUUAAGUAACGGUGCCAUCAAAGAUGCAUCACAACUAGGAGUUCGCACAUCACACUCCCUCCACUUGGUUUCACUCGGAAUUGCCAAUAGUAUAAUCUGCAUUAAUGCAAGCAAUUUAUUUACAGUCAUGUUUGGUGUCAUUUGAAUUUGUCUCAGGGCGACCGGUACAAUGGUCUCAACCUUAGAGUAGAUUAAAAGAUAAUACAGAUCCUAAGGGUUAAGAAAGCUUUUGAUCACUGCAAUGGGAGUGCCCUUUUCCAGGGUCUUCCACGUAAAUUGCCUUCUGUUCCCAUUGAGGUGUAAACUACCCUGGUCUGGGACCUGACCUAAUCAAAUUCCAAUGGUUAGUUUCUGUCUUCAUCUCGGGGGAUGUUUGUCUUGGUCUGAGGUAUUUAAAGGAUUGCAAUGAAAGGAUCCUGGGGAUUCUGCAGCCAGAAAGCCCAUGGUGUGUCUCUUCACUUCAUACUAUGUAUUUUCUAAGCUCCGGUUCAAAGCCAUGUUAAAGGCUAUCUUGUUUUUUAAGGAAGAAGAAAUGGAAGAGAUGAUUUGGAAGUGAUGCAGCUGACAAGAUGGACUCCAGCAAGAAUCCUCAGCGUUGAUCAAGCAAGUCCACAUCUAACCCAUCUAAAGUUGGAAUCAUCUUGUAAGAAAACUUUGUAAUGGAUGAACAGACCGAUCCUAGGCCUUCUAUGUCCAUUUUCAGACUUAUUUAUGCCCUGCACCUGGACUAAGUGUUUGAAAAGCACUUUAUAUUUUAUUCAGCAGGUAAUGCUCAACCUCGGAAAAUGUGAGUUUUGAUGCCAUUUUGAUGCCAUUUUCUUGCGAUUCUGAACUUUUCAUGUUUUAUGGGAAAGUGUUUUCAUAUAAAAAAAAAAUCACAGUUUUCACACUUCUGUUGUGUUUUUAAAUUAGCAUUUGGAUUUGAAUUAAAAUAAAGCAGAAGCAGAGGCAUUAAUGUUCCUUUAUUUGUUUGCUUAAAUCUAUAGUACUACACUGAAAAAUGUUUCAAUGAGCUAAUGAAAAAUAAACAAUAUUUUAUAUGUCUAUGAAAGCUAUAAAAAAGAAAUUUCUUAAAUAAGAAUUUUUGUUUUGAUUAAAUCUAUAUUUUUUCAUUUGGAUCAAAAAAUAAUUUUUUCUUGUUUUCUUCAAAAAGAAAAAAUGUAUAUUUAGGGCAAGUUACUUUUUUUACUAAGACUCAAGUUGUAAAAUAUAGAUGUAAAUCAUUACCCUGCAUUUUUUUUUUAUUGGAUGAAUAAAAAUUUUUUUCAGUGCACAAAAUCUUUACAUAAACAAUUGUUUACCUACUAAGUGAUGGUAAACAGAAAACUGGAUGUAAGUACAUUUAAUGUGUGCAAUUUCAUUAAUGUAAAUAAA
This is a long non-coding RNA of Carassius gibelio (silver crucian carp), 1611 nucleotides long. RefSeq lists it as uncharacterized. The record is from RefSeq and is a predicted model, not a curated record. The transcript is spliced from 3 exons. Lineage: Eukaryota; Metazoa; Chordata; Actinopteri; Cypriniformes; Cyprinidae.